RNAcentral lists this transfer RNA (41 nucleotides) under Synandrodaphne paradoxa. RNAcentral describes it as "tRNA-Leu (UAA)". Lineage: Eukaryota; Viridiplantae; Streptophyta; Magnoliopsida; Malvales; Thymelaeaceae. The record is from RNAcentral.
AAUCCGUCGACUUUAAAAAUCGUGAUAUUUUUUUAUCUUAU